Molecule: long non-coding RNA, 664 nt
Filed under: Elaeis guineensis (African oil palm)
Lineage: Eukaryota; Viridiplantae; Streptophyta; Magnoliopsida; Arecales; Arecaceae
Description: long non-coding RNA (EGUI_LNC012664)
Source: RNAcentral
CAAUACUCUCCCUUAUUACAAUCUCGGUGUUAAUAAUACUGCGCUUGCCAUACCAAGCUUCAAACUGCUCAACUGCAAAUCUUUUAACGAAAACAAUCAUCAGCUCAUCCCUUGUGAGAAUUGGAAUCAAACCGUCAUCCACAACUCUCGCUCUCUAACAAAGUGAUGGUAAACCUCAAUAUACUCUUGUCUUGCAUAGGAUGUCGAAUUCAUUGCUAGUUGGAAGGCACUCUCCCUAUCACAAUGAAUGGAAAAAAAUAGUCAGUACUUUGACUCUCAAUAUGGUUAGUAAACAAUCUUGUGCACCAAAUCCUCCUAAACUACCAUCAUGGUAGCAUGGUAUUUUCUACCUCUGUACAAAAUGCAGCAGUAGGCUGUCCCAUAUUGGACCAAGAAACAACAUUAGAUUAAAGGUUGAAUGAAUAAUUGGUAGGUGUAUACAUAUCAUCAGAAUAGGCUGCAUCAAUAAAAUCUGUUAAAUGGACUGAAAAUUUAUUGAUAUGUUACAAAAUAUUAUUUGUGCAAAGUUUCUCUCACAGACUCUCACAAUUUAAGAAGAAAGAUGAGCAAGAGAACUUGUUAGCACAAGCUAGAUGGCAGAAUAGAUAGAUAUAUGGGCAUACCACUAGCAUUAGGACAAUUGGAAAGAUGAUGAUCGAAGGAA